RNAcentral lists this ribosomal RNA (253 nucleotides) under uncultured bacterium. Its description in RNAcentral is "partial 16S ribosomal RNA". It matches the Rfam family "Bacterial small subunit ribosomal RNA", at positions 524 to 776 of the family's 1533-position model. The record is from RNAcentral.
UACGAAGGGUGCAAGCGUUAAUCGGAAUUACUGGGCGUAAAGGGCGCGUAGGCGGCCUAAUAAGUCAGAUGUGAAACCCCCGGGCUUAACCCAGGGCUUGCAUUUGAAACUGUUGGGCUUGAGGACAGGAGAGGAAAGCGGAAUUCCCAGUGUAGCGGUGAAAUGCGUAGAUAUUGGGAGGAACACCAGUGGCGAAGGCGGCUUUCUGGACUGAACCUGACGCUGAGGCGCGAAAGCCAGGGGAGCGAACGGG